AAUCAAAGUGCAAGAAAUCAUAUAGCUCUUACUGAGGGAAGGAGGUUGUUUGCCAAGAUCUCAUGAUACAUGGCCCCAUCCAUCCUCCCCUCAAUACGGUGAAGUCGUCCAGUCCCCUUUGCAGAAAAGCAUCCCAGUAGAAUGAUGUUUCCAGAGGGGCCAAAGUUUUAGAAGAAACCUAGAGAGGAACCUGGCUUGGAGGGGUGACCAUUGCUUUUCUGUCUGUGCCGUGUGAACAUUUAAAGAGUAUAAGUUCAUUUUAAGAGUAUAAGAAUGUAAGUAGAGUGGCAGCAUGAAUCGGGUAUCAUUUAUCUGCAACAUAUCCAGAAGGACUUUGGCCAGUGUAAGCAACAACUCUAUAGAGCCUGGUUUUCGGGAGGUGGGGGCCAAGACCUCACGUCUUCCUAUGUUUGAACGGAGCAGGAGACAAGAACAUUUUGAGAGUCCACUCCUUAGGUUUACAGUGGAGAAGGACAACUGAAAAUGUAUUUAUUAUUAUAUCCUUAUUUAUUGAUUAUACUGUUUUAAGAUCUUUGUACUCUGUAUGCUUGAAGCGUCACAUGUAUUAAAAUACUUUCUGUUGAAGCAACUCAUGAUAUCUGUAUCUAUAUUCAGGGCCAGUAUUGAGUGGAAUGUCAGCUGUGCAGGGCCUGGGCUCCAAAACCAUCAGAACUGUCCAUGAAGGGAGAACUCUUAACAGCAGCAGGGGGUUCUUGUUACCUGUACUGUACAGGUGAAUGAGACCCUACCCCUUAUGGGGAGUGCCAAGUUAGCAGAAAACCCAUACAGUAACUGUCCAGGUUGAUAAAUGUCAUCUUUUGACUGGGUUGUCGGGGCAACCAACAUUCUAUGAUUAUAUAGGCCUCCUGGAGCCAUGUCUGUGUGCAACGUUGCAUUUCAUAGUCUACAUCGUGGCAAUCUUGUUGUUACACUCCCAGUGGAGUGCUGGAUUAGCAGGAAGUGGGGAGCUGUUUUGUAUUGUUAAUCAACAUUUAAAUAUAUUAUUGUACUUUAGAAAAGAAAAACAUGUCACUAAGUUCAAAUCAGUGUGUCUGGGUUUCCAGGUAGUAAGGGUGUUCAUAUCACAGUGGUACAGAACAGAGUCUGUCACAAAGCACUAUUCGCCUUAUUCACCUACGGCACUUCCUUUAAACCAAAACGAGGCUGUGGGGUACGGAAGUAACGUUGGCCCGCCCAUCUGUAGACUUCUGUCAUAACGUUACCUACAAUGCCGCCACAUUGUUGUGUUCCCAAACGUACGUCUUCAAAGAGAAAGAAAUCCUAUACAGGUCAAACCUUCCAUCGUUUCCCCAAAGAUCCUGUACUUGGCCGUGAAUGGAUUCAUAAAAUAAGAAGAGACCCCGGUCGCCAUUUCAAGGUAAGAUAUUAACAUUAGUUUAAGAUGCUAACGUUAGCCAUAUUUAUGUUAACUGUCAUAGAGAUAGCUAGCUAAACCUUCUGGCUAAAUAGACAUGACUUAAUGGACCUUAUUCACCGCGCCUCCAUCUUGAAAUCCAAAACGAGGCUGGGGGGUACACUGUAACCGGAAGUUCAUUGACAGAGCGCAGCAGCGGGCGUCUAUCAUCAUGGCGAUACCUUUGUGGACAUCAAAUCUUUCAUGUCUUCCCAACAUAACAGUGGACUAUGUCGAAAAAUGGGCCAAUAAGGACUGCAUGAUUCCCCGGGCUGUUUUGCUUAGAGGAUACAGCAACUGGAUCGAGGGAUAUGUGCACGACGUGGAAGGUAAUGCACGGACGAUCACAGCUUUUUUUCUGAAAUCAGCAUUAGUUAACGUUACUGUUGAAGUUAGCUUGUUAGCUAGAAAAAACAACAGGACGUGACAACAUUACAAGCUGAUGCAAAGCAUUGUUAAGAUAUAUUAACCACACCAGCCUGACUAUUAUUUUGAGUGUUAACAAUAAAUUAUUUUGCCGACAGUCAAGGCGAGCGAGACAGUCAGUGUGAGAGCUAAGUCUUUUCGCUCAAUGCGAAAAAACGAGGCACCUUACAACAUUCAGGUAUCAUGACUGUGGACAAACUGCUCGGUUUGUGGAGUGGUGCCACUGCUAGAACAAAUACGCUUGCUGUUUAUCCACUGUUUAUACGUAGUUGUGUGCUUAACAUGGUCUAGAUUAGCAAUGGUUAUUAUCAUAAACAGGCACAGAUCACGUCUUGUUUAUAUUUUGCUGUAAGACCCCAGAGAGCAAAAAAUAUCCGCAAGACUUCUUUUUGCCGCCGGCCCUUAGCUGUCGGCUAUAGGUGCGUCCUGCUGGCGGGGAUGAAACGUUUGCCGCCGAAUACGUCACUCCCAUUUCUUGCGAGAUUUUUUGACUGCUUCAUUAUCUCUGGCGGUUGCCUUGGUCUAAAGGACCGCGGUCCUUCGGCGGCAAGACGCUUUUAAAUAGGCUACUCUCAAAAUCGACCGGCCAUGUUGGUUUGGACACACAUUCACAUCAGUUCGUUGCUCAAUCGCGAGUUACAGUCUGCUAGCUAGCAAAGUCAUCGACUACCAUCGUUUAAAUACCUUGGCCAGAGCAUAACCGAUUAUCUUCACCCAAGAGACCUACUGUUCGUCAAUCGUUUUGGUUUUAAAGAAGUUGCAUUGAUUCCAGAAAACCAGGAAAAUGUUGAGCCAUCUGUAGACUUCAGAGUUGAACCAGGUUUCUCCCCAGUAAUCCAGACUCCACUUCAGAGCCAAGAGUUUGAGUACAAGGCACUUGACUUUCUGGAUAAAAGGUGUGGAGUUCAUCAAGUACUAAACUUUACACCCCCAGCAGAAAAUGUACCCUGGCAGCAAAUGGGUGAAAAGGCUGGAGGAGAAACUCAUCGCUCCGUUAUUGGCCCUUGGACUCCCCUGGCAUCGCAUGUACAGCAUGAAGUUUUCAGCAAUGAAGGUAUAUUCUAGGCCUAUGUCCUAAUGUCCAGUUUUUUAACAGUUUUGAAAAUAGUGCCUUUAGUUUUCCAGAACGAGAACCAAGCCCUGAGGGAGGAGAACCAAGCCCUGAGGGAGGAGAACCAAGCCCUGAGGGAGGAGAACCAAGCCCUGAGGGAGGAGAACCAUGCCCUGAGGGAGGAGAACCAUGCCCUGAGGGAGGAGAACCAUGCCCUGAGGGAGGAGAACCAUGCCCUGAGGGAGGGGAGCCAUGCACGAGCAGCUUCGGGUGACAGCGGCUCGCUUCAAGAGCAGGUGAAGCAAUUUGGGACAAUGCUGAAGAUGUUUGCUCGCACUGGGCAAUCAGGUGCAGAUCAGACCUUAGUGCUGCGACGUCUUGGAGAGUUUGGCGAUGUUGUGCGUAGCAUGGAAAACAAAAUGGACACUAUGCUGCAACAUUUCAGUGCCAAUGUGUCUGUUGGAGAGCUAUCCCUGCCAGGGGAUGUUACUCCCCCUAGACACCCAGGAAGAUUUGGUGUUUCUUGACAGCAUUUUGAGGGAGGAUAAAGAGCUCCAGGAACGAUUUGGGCCCUCCGGAAGAACCCGGCAACCCAGGAUGCCACUGAUGAGGCGGUCCAGGUUAACGUUACACGUUACCUGAAAGGAGCAUCAGACCGUGAAGGAGGAAAAAGCCGCCCAGCUGAGAAGGACCCACAGCCAACCCCUUAAACCUAGGCUGACUACUGACACCCCAGCAUCCCUGAACUGGAACACUUUCUUUAUCCUGCAGUCAGUAACAUCAAGAAGCCAGAAGUGCCAGACUACACUCACCAAACCCACCCUGUUUUUAUUUGUAUUAACUUUAGUAUUGGCUUAUUUCAUUCCAUCUUAACGAUUCUAUUAUAGUUUGUAAAUCCUAUUUCAUACCUGUUACUUGAUAUUGCGCAUUAACUAGUACCAACAUUCUACUUUCAUUUCAUCACUAUGCUUAACUGUUAUUCAAUUAAUAAUAGCUUGGAAAUACUAUUUCGUACCUCUGAUACUUGAUAUUGCACAGUACCUGGUACCAAAUAUUCUACUUACUCUGUUUUUAACAUCAGCAUUUUUCAUUCCAUCACAGUGCUUAACUGUUAUUCUAUUGUUAAAUAUAGCUUGUAAAUCCUCGUGCCACAGGUCAGCAUUGCAGUUAUAAUGGUCUGUUCUACUACUGUUUUUACCUCUGUAUUUUUAUAUAUGUAUAUCAAGUUUUGUUUAUCACAGAUACAAGAGACACAUCUUAAUGCAGCAUGGUGUAAAUAUUGUGAUCCAGGUCAGCAAUGCCAUUAUAAUGGAAUAUUCUACUCUAGAGCUUUACUCAAUGGCUUGAAAAUGUGAUGUUCUACCUCGUUUUAUUUGGUAUCCUGCACAUUCUUUGGUACCAAAUAUCCUCAUUACUUGUUAGGUUUACUGGUAAUUAUUUUCAUCCCAGAGCUGACCUCUAUAUUAUUAACAAUGAUUGUGUUUGUGUUAUAAUUUGCUUGUAUGGCUGUUCUUUUUUUUUAACCAACAUUUUAUUGGAAACCUGCAUGUUCUGUGUGUAUUUAUGUUUAUUUUUUUUCUGCCUAUUAUUUAUUUCAGUGAUCUGACACAUCUUGUUUGAAUGACAGUUACUGUACUUUGAAAUGUGGAAUUAAAA
Molecule: long non-coding RNA, 4547 nt
Organism: Esox lucius (northern pike)
Lineage: Eukaryota; Metazoa; Chordata; Actinopteri; Esociformes; Esocidae
Source: Ensembl